AUGUCUUUUUGAAUAUAAUUUAAAGUCUAAUCUGCUCACUGAAAAUUUUAAAGAGCCGCAGUAUUUUAACUGUGCAAAGGUAGCAUAAUCAAUAGUUUUUUAAUUGAGAACUUGUAUGAAUGAUUUUUUAAAAAAUUUAUUUUCUUAAUUUUUUAAAUUGAAUUUUAAUUUUAAGUGAAAAUGCUUAAAUAAUAUUAAGGGACGAGAAGACCCUAUAGAUUUUUAUUAUAUAAAUUUAAAUAUAUUUAUUUAAAUAAAUAUAAUUUGAUUGGGGUGAUAUUGUAAAAUAAAUAACUUAAAAAUUUUAAAACAUUAAUAAAUGAAUAUUUUGAUCUAAAAAUUUUAAUUAAAAGAUUAAAUUACCUUAGGGAUAACAGCGUAAUUUUAUUUACGAGUUCAUAUCUAUAAUAAAGUUUGCGACCUCGAUGUUGAAUUAAGAUAAAGUAUUGGAGUAGAAAUUAAUAAUUUUAGUCUGUUCGACUAUUAAAUUCUUACGUG
RNAcentral lists this ribosomal RNA (498 nucleotides) under Hemipsocus chloroticus. Its description in RNAcentral is "partial 16S ribosomal RNA". The record is from RNAcentral. Lineage: Eukaryota; Metazoa; Arthropoda; Insecta; Psocodea; Hemipsocidae.